GGGUCUUCUUGUAAACCAUUUGUAUUUAUAAAUAUGGAGUGCUUGAAUAAACAGUAAAUGUGUCAGAGCCAAUAGGUAAAGCACGCGAUACAGGAGUCUGCCUUUUCCUAGCAUCAGGCACUGCGCACAUUCUUUUAAAAAGCCGCAUUGCAUCCUGGGUAUCCUGGAAGUCCACGCUGAAUCCACGCCCUUCCUGAGAUUUUCCUGCUCAGGUCAGCAUAUUACUUGUUUUGCCCAUGGUAGUUCAAUUCUAGUUUCUGUUAGCGCAACCCAAGGAGUUCUUACUUCAGCCGUGCCCACCCCACCCCCAUAAACAGUCAUCUCCCCUAACGAGAGUGGAAGAAAGUGUCUUUGGAGCUGGGAUUUGAGAUAAACUUCUCAGGUCCCCAGGGGCUCCAGAGUUAUACUUCGUAGAAAGUUAGUAUAACUUACUUUCUUAUAAGUAAGUUAUAUUUACAUAGAAAGUAAGUAUAAAGUAUAUAUACUUUCUACUUAUGUAGAAAAUCUCAUCUUCCAGUGGCUUUUUGCUAACACUGCCUGGGGAGUAUUGAGGGGGUGAAGGAGAGUUGUGUACAUAAACACACACACUCACACCUGUCCAGCUUUUUUGCCAACACAAUAAUAUUUACUGAAGGUCUAUUAUAUUUCAGGCACUAUCACAAACAUCUGUUCUGCAUUAAUCUAAGAAACCAGAUUUUCAGACUGUUCCUAAUUAUAGAUGAGAUAAUACAUUUCAUGUAAAAGAUGUUAAAUAUUAGUCUUUAUGAAUUAGGAAAGUUAUGAGCAAAGGCUCAUUCUAUGCACCUUUCUAUACCUUCUCCAGGUUUAAGCAUCAUGUGGGUGUCUCUUUUGCUUUCAUAAUAAAAGGUUAGCCCAAGAAACUUGAAGCAAGAUUUCAAGAAAUGCUAUUUCAAUAUUACUAUUUGAAUGACUUGUUUCUAAAGACAUUUUUAAAAAGGCAAUGAAAAAUGAACAAAAAGUCCAAAUUAAACUAUAACUAAAUAGCGUGACUUGCCUUGAAAUUCUAGCUUUAUUCAUGUAAGUCUGUAUCCUCCAGCGAAGCGGACUGAAACAAGUCAGCCCAA
Molecule: long non-coding RNA, 1085 nt
Filed under: Bos grunniens (domestic yak)
Lineage: Eukaryota; Metazoa; Chordata; Mammalia; Artiodactyla; Bovidae
Description: lncRNA (ENSBGRG00000002208.1)
Source: RNAcentral